ACUCCUACGGGUGGCUGCAGCAGGGAAUCUUGCGCAAUGGGCGAAAGCCUGACGCAGCGACACCGCGUGGAGGAAGAAGGCUUUCGGGUCGUAAACUCCUUUUCUCGGGGAAGAGAACGGACGGUACCCGAGGAAUAAGCAUCGGCUAACUACGUGCCAGCAGCCGCGGUAAUACGUAGGAUGCGAGCGUUGUCCGGAUUUACUGGGCGUAAAGGGCGAGUAGGCGGCCCGCUAAGUCUCAUGUGAAAUCUCCCGGCUCAACUGGGAGGGGUCAUGAGAAACUGGCAGGCUUGAGGUCAGCAGAGGAAAGCGGAAUUCCCGGAGUAGCGGUGAUAUGCGUAGAUACCGGGAGGAACACCAGAGGCGAAGGCGGCUUUCUGGGCUGUAACUGACGCUGAGGCGCGAAAGCGUGGGUAGCAAACCGGAUUAGAUACCCGGGUAGUCCACGCCCUAAACGAUGGAUACUAGGCAUGGGGGGUAUCGACCCCCUCCGUGCCGCAGCUAACGCAAUAAGUAUCCCGCCUGAGGAGUACGGCCGCAAGGCUAAAACUCAAAGGAAUUGACGGGGGCCCGCACAAGCAGCGGAGCGUGUGGUUUAAUUCGAUGGUAAGCGAAGAACCUUACCUGGGCUUGACAUGCAGGUGGUACCAAACCGAAAGGUGAGGGACCCGCAAGGGAGCUUGCACAGGUGCUGCAUGGCUGUCGUCAGCUCGUGUCGUGAGAU
RNAcentral lists this ribosomal RNA (724 nucleotides) under uncultured endophytic bacterium. Its description in RNAcentral is "bacterial SSU rRNA". It matches the Rfam family "Bacterial small subunit ribosomal RNA", at positions 335 to 1073 of the family's 1533-position model. The record is from RNAcentral.